GGCAGGGCAAGAUGAUGCCUAAGGAAAGAAUUUUAAGACAAAUCCCUCCCUACCCCCACACACUCAUACAAAACUCGUGUCACAAUAAUAACUAUGUUUACUGAGUACUUAUUUUGUGCUGGUCACUUACUCACAUGCAGAUGAUUUCAUCUAGAGACCCCUCACCCCCAGUGGCCCUAUGAUGUAGGUUCCAUAAUUAGCCCCAUUCGCUGGUGGAGAAAUCAAGACUCAAAGUGGCAAGAGGUGAAGCUGGAAUUUGGGUGUGAAUAUGCUAGACUCAGAGCCUGUGCUCUUGACCUCUGUCAGUAUCCAAGAGAAACCGGGUAGGUUGGAUAGCAGUCAAGCAAGAGCCCGGGCAGAGAGGCGGGAGCCUGGGUGCUCACCUGGCUCUGUGUGACUAAGAGUGGGUCACUUCCUUUGUUUAGCGCUGAGUUCCCUCAGCUGGCUCUGCGCCAGGCACUGAGGAAAUGCAGAAAACCUCCAUUCUCUAGGUGGUUUGCUCCCGGGGCAGCAGAUAAACCAGCACCAUCCAUUUGAUAUGAUAUGACAAGAGUCAGUAAGUAUUUCUUCUCCCUUGGUUCUACUGUCCCCUGGGAGAUGUCAAGCAAGAAGUUGGAAAGUCAAAGGUUGCAAACCCAAAAACUGACAGAGCAAGUGUGGAAUGCAGAAAGACUGGAGUCUUGGCUCUACCACUUCCAGCUCUGCGACCCCAAAUUCUGCAUCUGCCUGCAGGUGUCUUAAUGAGGCAUCUAAGAUCACCAAGUCCUAUCAGCAUAAUAUCAUCAAUAAACCGGACCAACGCGAUCCUUGUGGGGUGGCGAGAUGGUCGUGCGGAGCUGGAGGACUGACCGGCUGAAGGAAGGCACUCACGGUGAGCUGCUCUCCCGGCCAGCGAUGUCAAACUGAUUUGGAAAAAUGUUGGGGUUUAGAGCUGAUGGCCAAGGAAGAAUCCUUGAGCCAUCUUCUGUGUGAGAAGGUGGUUUUAUUAAAGCCCAGGGACAGGACCUGUGGGCAGAAGGAGCUGCACCGGGGUCAUGAGGAGGGGCCGAUUACACUUUCAAGUUGGGAAGGGCUUAGGGAUAGCGUAAGUCUCUAAGGAAUUUUGGAAGCAAGGUUUCCAGGACCUUGAGGGGGCUAGCUUUUGGGAAAAGGUCAUUUAUUACCGUCUAAUAAAACCUUAGUCAUGAGACCCUUCAGAUGUAUAUCGGUGGUCCAUAUGCUUGUGGGAUGAUUGCCAGCAUGCAUCCUGAGGAUAGAGAUAGAGGAAGUUGCCAAAGGAAUUUUUAUAUGCUAAAGUAGACUUGCA
RNAcentral lists this long non-coding RNA (1306 nucleotides) under Zalophus californianus (California sea lion). RNAcentral's name for it is "lncRNA (ENSZCAG00015008905.1)". Lineage: Eukaryota; Metazoa; Chordata; Mammalia; Carnivora; Otariidae. The record is from RNAcentral.